UACGAAGGGUGCAAACGUUGCUCGGAAUUAUUGGGCGUAAAGCGCACGUAGGCGGCAUUGUAAGUCGGAUGUGAAAUCCCUCGGCUCAACCAAGGAAGUGCAUCCGAAACUGCAGUGCUUGAGUACUUAAGAGGAUCGCGGAAUUCCCGGUGUAGAGGUGAAAUUCGUAGAUAUCGGGAGGAACGCCAGUGGCGAAGGCGGCGAUCUGGGAAGAUACUGACGCUGAGGUGCGAAAGCGUGGGGAGCAAACAGG
This 253-nucleotide ribosomal RNA is filed under the name uncultured bacterium. RNAcentral describes it as "partial 16S ribosomal RNA". It matches the Rfam family "Bacterial small subunit ribosomal RNA", at positions 524 to 776 of the family's 1533-position model. The record is from RNAcentral.